GGGCCGUUAGCUCAGUUGGUAGAGCAACUGACUUUUAAUCAGUGGGUCGUAGGUUCGAAUCCUACACGGCUCA
Transfer RNA from Tropicibacter naphthalenivorans, 73 nucleotides. It matches the Rfam family "tRNA". From Rfam's summary of the family: Transfer RNA (tRNA) molecules are approximately 80 nucleotides in length. Their secondary structure includes four short double-helical elements and three loops (D, anti-codon, and T loops). Lineage: Bacteria; Pseudomonadati; Pseudomonadota; Alphaproteobacteria; Rhodobacterales; Roseobacteraceae. The record is from Rfam.